Molecule: ribosomal RNA, 781 nt
Filed under: Bacillus sp. CSu__37
Lineage: Bacteria; Bacillati; Bacillota; Bacilli; Caryophanales; Bacillaceae
Description: bacterial SSU rRNA
Rfam family: Bacterial small subunit ribosomal RNA
Source: RNAcentral
CAGUCGAGCGGACAGAUGGGAGCUUGCUCCCUGAUGUUAGCGGCGGACGGGUGAGUAACACGUGGGUAACCUGCCUGUAAGACUGGGAUAACUCCGGGAAACCGGGGCUAAUACCGGAUGCUUGUUUGAACCGCAUGGUUCAAACAUAAAAGGUGGCUUCGGCUACCACUUACAGAUGGACCCGCGGCGCAUUAGCUAGUUGGUGAGGUAACGGCUCACCAAGGCAACGAUGCGUAGCCGACCUGAGAGGGUGAUCGGCCACACUGGGACUGAGACACGGCCCAGACUCCUACGGGAGGCAGCAGUAGGGAAUCUUCCGCAAUGGACGAAAGUCUGACGGAGCAACGCCGCGUGAGUGAUGAAGGUUUUCGGAUCGUAAAGCUCUGUUGUUAGGGAAGAACAAGUACCGUUCGAAUAGGGCGGUACCUUGACGGUACCUAACCAGAAAGCCACGGCUAACUACGUGCCAGCAGCCGCGGUAAUACGUAGGUGGCAAGCGUUGUCCGGAAUUAUUGGGCGUAAAGGGCUCGCAGGCGGUUUCUUAAGUCUGAUGUGAAAGCCCCCGGCUCAACCGGGGAGGGUCAUUGGAAACUGGGGAACUUGAGUGCAGAAGAGGAGAGUGGAAUUCCACGUGUAGCGGUGAAAUGCGUAGAGAUGUGGAGGAACACCAGUGGCGAAGGCGACUCUCUGGUCUGUAACUGACGCUGAGGAGCGAAAGCGUGGGGAGCGAACAGGAUUAGAUACCCUGGUAGUCCACGCCGUAAACGAUGAGUGCUAAGUG